UAGGAUAGAGGCCUACCAUGGUGGUAACGGGUAACGGGGUGUUAGGGCACGACACCGGAGAGGGAGCCUGAGAAACGGCUACCACAUCCAAGGAUGGCAGCAGGCGCGCAAAUUACCUAAUCCCGACACGGGGAGGUAGUGACAAUAAAUAACAAUACGGGGUUCUUUCGGAUCUCGUAAUUGGAAUGAGUACAAUUUAAAUCUCUUAACGAGGAACAAUUGGAGGGCAAGUCUGGUGCCAGCAGCCGCGGUAAUUCCAGCUCCAAUAGCGUAUAUUAAAGUUGUUGCAGUUAAAAAGCUCGUAGUUGAAUUUCGGGGUUAGUAGGUUGGUCAUGCCUCUGGUAUGUACUGGUCUCACUGAUUCCUCCUUCCUUAUGAACCGUAAUGCCAUUAAUUUGGUGUUGCGGGGAAUUUGGACUGUUACUUUGAAAAAAUUAGAGUGUUUAAAGCAAGCUAACGCUUGAAUACAUUAGCAUGGAAUAAUGAAAUAGGACGUUCGAUCUUAUUUUGUUGGCUUCUAGGAUUGACGUAAUGAUUAAUAGGGAUAGUUGGGGGCAUUAGUAUUCAAUUGUCAGAGGUGAAGUUCUUGGAUUUAUUGAAGACUAACUACUGCGAAAGCAUUUGCCAAGGAUGUUUUCAUUAAUCAAGAACGAAAGUUAGGGGAUCGAAGACGAUCAGAUACCGUCGUAGUCUUAACCAUAAACUAUGCCGACUAGGGAUCGGAUGAU
RNAcentral lists this ribosomal RNA (728 nucleotides) under uncultured fungus. RNAcentral describes it as "SSU rRNA". It matches the Rfam family "Eukaryotic small subunit ribosomal RNA", at positions 329 to 1061 of the family's 1831-position model. Lineage: Eukaryota; Fungi. The record is from RNAcentral.